GGUUUCGGUAUGUAUGUUUUGUAGCCGGCAACGCAGUGUCAGCCGUGAGGCCCUGCGACCGAGGAUGGUUUUGUAGUUUUUGGAACUCGUAUAAUGUUGUAAUCUCAAAUCUCGUAAUUUUGUUAUAAGGACUUUAGCCUGUCUAUUCUUCCCAUAAAUUAAGCAAUUUGCCUGCUAUACUAUUUAAAAAUAAUUUAGUAGCUCGCCUCAUUAAUAUUCAGAACAUGCAUGCACGAACUACGCAUGUGCCGUUCAGACAACCCAAUUUGUCUUAAAUAUACAGUAAACUCUUGAUCGCGAAUUCUGAUCAUGCAUGAAGAAUAAUCUAUAUUGUCCAAUAAUGUGAACAUCAGUGGCGAAGCCAGCCCGACAAUUUGGUCAUGCAAUGAAUCAUAUUUCCCUGAUGAUGGCUCUGACAUAGAUUUGAAACACUGUGACAUUGUCAUAACACCAAAAAUUAAAUUAACAAGACGCUCUGCGGAGCGUUAACUCGCUGGGGCUAUACUAGACUUGGUUAGGGCCUGAACUUCAGGUUA
RNAcentral lists this long non-coding RNA (536 nucleotides) under Paramuricea clavata. Lineage: Eukaryota; Metazoa; Cnidaria; Anthozoa; Malacalcyonacea; Plexauridae. The record is from RNAcentral.